CUACGGGAUGCUGCAGUGGGGAAUAUUGCACAAUGGAGGAAACUCUGAUGCAGCAACGCCGCGUGGAGGAUGACACUUUUCGGAGCGUAAACUCCUUUUAUAUAGGAAGAAGAUGACGGUACUAUAUGAAUAAGCGCCGGCUAACUCCGUGCCAGCAGCCGCGGUAAUACGGAGGGCGCAAGCGUUACUCGGAAUCACUGGGCGUAAAGAGCGUGUAGGCGGAUUAAAAAGUCAGAAGUGAAAUCCUAUAGCUUAACUAUAGAACUGCUUCUGAAACUCUUAAUCUAGAAUGUGGGAGAGGUAGAUGGAAUUUCUGGUGUAAGGGUAAAAUCCGUAGAGAUCAGAAGGAAUACCGAUUGCGAAGGCGAUCUACUAGAACAUUAUUGACGCUGAGACGCGAAAGCGUGGGGAGCAAACAGGAUUAGAUACCUGUGUAGUC
Molecule: ribosomal RNA, 439 nt
Filed under: uncultured bacterium
Lineage: Bacteria
Description: partial 16S ribosomal RNA
Rfam family: Bacterial small subunit ribosomal RNA
Source: RNAcentral